GUGCAUAUAAAGGAAUCAAGAUUAAUAUAAUUGCAUGGAACAAUCAGAACUUAUCGAUGCGUUUGAGACGUAUCAAGGUACGGUGAAGAAGGGUGGGGGCACCAUAUAUGUCUAGGAGGGGGAGGUGGGUGGCCUACGGUAAGUGAGCGCUGGUGUCGGUUUAACGUCGCUAUUGUUGGGCGAUCUCCGGUGGUGAGUCGCCCACAUGCCACAUCAGGUGAUGUGGUUGACCGGCAGACCGCGUAUGGUUGGCCACACACCAGACCACGUAUGGAUGGUACGACUGAGUGACCGACGUACAAUACAUACAGGCGACGCGUAUCCCGAAGGUGGGGAGGGCGACAUGUUUUUUAAAUGACCAUCACACCCUUUGAAGGUCUAAGCACAGUUUAAAAAACCGGACCGGACCCGCGGCUGAAGAGGAAAAAACCAGAACCGGCAUCCUUUUUGGGUUUUUAAGCUAAAAAAGACCGACCUGCAAUUGGACCGGAAAUAAUAUAAACUGGACGGUUUUUGCAUUAAUCUGAGGUAUAAAACUGGCAGUUUAACCAGUACCAACCACAAAAAUAGAAAAAUAACCUGUGUCAAAGGAAAUUCAAAGCCAGGAUGCUAGAUAUUAGUAUGUUAAUUAGUUGCACCUUUGGACCAAUAACCAUCUUGGCUAGCCAACUUUCUUGUCAAAUUUAAGUAAAUGAUUGUAUUUUACAUCUAUUUAGUAUGACAUUAGUAUACAUUUUUAUUACUUAUGGUAUCAAAAACCAGACGUCGAACCGGUGAAUCGAUGGUCCGACCGGUUAAAACCAUGUUCGAUCACCGGUUCAGUUUUUCAAAACUAUGGGUGUAAGGACCGAUCACCAGUGUCGAUGUGUUUACAGGAUGGAGGAGGGUUGUACCGAAAUAAAAGUGGACUAAUUAAUAGAGGUAGUGAACUUGUGGGGGGUAUAUAUACCGGUAAGUUCAUAUGCAUGAUGUG
Molecule: long non-coding RNA, 973 nt
Filed under: Hordeum vulgare
Lineage: Eukaryota; Viridiplantae; Streptophyta; Magnoliopsida; Poales; Poaceae
Description: long non-coding RNA (HVUL_LNC000229)
Source: RNAcentral